CCGAUCUCCAUCUUUCGACCAAAGCAUUGAUCAGUGGGGGAUUGAAUUUAGUCCACCGAGCAUUUGAGUCACGUUUAAAAAUCAUGUGUCUCGCAAGUGUCCAUAAAUGACAUUCAAUGCACCUUUGCUUAAAUUGUUUAUGUACAUCUCCAAAAUCUGACAUUUGAGUUGAAUAUAAAAACAUAAAAAAAAUCUAAAUAUCAUAAUAAUUAACUAUUUAAAAUUAAAUAAUUUAUUAAUAUUUUCUUACCAUUUGUAAUUGAAUGUCGGAGAUAUGUUUGUCAUUCAAACAAAUAAGUUGAUUUGCUAUUUAAAAAUUAUAACGAAUAAAAUAAAAUUGAAGAGAAUAAAAUUCAAAAAAAGAAUUAAAAAAUCAUUAAGAAUUGAGAAUUGAUGAAUUUAGGAUAGCGGAAUGAGUAUUGAGUAUUUUUGGUUGAAAAAAAAUGAAGUUUAAAGAGGUUUGUAUUGGAAAAAUUAUGGCUGUUGAAAUCAUUUUAGCCAUUGGAAAAGUUACAGUUGGAAUAAUUACCGUAGGACGCGUUUUUAUUCUUUCUUUUGAAAACGCGUCUUACAGGAUGCGUUUUCAUUAAUGUGACAAUGAAAACUUUUUUCUUUCUCCAAAAAUAAACUAUAUCGAUAAAUUUAAAAAAAAAACUUUCUCAAUUUGUUUUUCAGCAUAUUCUUAUUAUUCUGCCUAUAAAUAUAUCUUAAUCAUUUAAAAAAUUAUGUUUACAUAAGGGGUUUUUAAACCAAUAAAAAUAUUAUCGAAAAAUUUAAAACAUAAUAGUAUUUUAAAAAAUGAAUAAUAUUAUCAACAUAUACCAUCCUAAAAUUUAAUAAAUUGUAAUCUGCGCAAACAAUCAACCUAUAAGUUUUAGAAUUUGUUAUGGGUUAGGCCUGAUGAGAUUAGGCCAGGCUUAGUUACAGCUCAAUUCCGUCUAAAUUUUGGGUUUUCUUAUAUCUUGAGCUCCAACCCUAAUUGCAAAAAGGUCGGGAGGUUGACCUCUCUCAUCUUUUCUGUACGCCAAUCCUUUUACAGUAACAACAUUUUUGAUUCACUAGAAUAGAAUCAAAUUAUAGUGAAAUGGUCCUUCUGUAAAAAUAGAAUAGGAUUAUAAUUAAAUUAAUUAGGCAUAAUAAUAAUUUGUUGGACGGAAUUUAAUGAAUCAUUGUUUUUAUUUUUAUAAAAAUAUUAAAAAACUAAAAAUCUUAAAUGUCGAAAUGAUAAAUAUACCCUUUAAUUUUUUUAUAAAAAUAUAAAAAUUAUUAAGAAAACCCAAAACUUUAAAUGUUGAAACUGCAAAUAUACCCAAUCAAUCACACUCUUGAAGCAAAUUAAUGUUUAAAUUCCCAAAAUAUAUCAUGUUUUAACAUGGCUCUUAAAAUGUAUAAUUUAACUCUUCCCCUUUUAAAUUUUACAAUAUUUUAAUUUAGUAAAGUUAAAAGCACAUUUUGUCUCCCAAAAACGAUAAAAUUUUUAUUUAUUCUUUUAAAAACUAUAAAUAUGUAAACUAUUAAAAUUGUAAAAUUGUAUUUCAACUCUCAUAAAAAUAUACAACCAUGAAAAGUUUUUGACUUCGUCCUUGUGUUUUAACAUUGUAUUGCAUAUGCUAUUAACUUCAACGACAUGUUUAGUUUACAAGAAUUAAAUAGUUAUGAGGUGAGAAUUAAAUAUAUUUAAGAAAUUAUUUGCAAAUGUAAUUAAACAGUCAUCUUUUAAAUUUAAUGGAAACUUAUAUAAUGAAAAAUAUUAUAUAGUAUUUAAUGUUAAAAUAAUUUGCUUUUAGCCUGGUUAUUAAUAUGUUUUUUUUUUUUUUAAACAUUUUUCUCCCCCACAAUCAUCUCCUCUCUCUCACAGUCUCGGUCUCAGUCUCUUGGUCCAGAUUCAAAAAGCAGAAAAAUAAAAACCCAAAAUUCAGCCUUCUUCCGUCACCUCCAUCGUCGUCUACUACCACCCAUGAACACUAAACAUCACUUCAUCUCUUCCCACUUCUGGAACUCAAAAUCUCACCAAUCUCUUCUUCAUUUUUUUUUAUGUUUUCUUUUCAUGCGAUAUGAUUUGUCGGCAUAUGUUAGUUGAUUUUAUUUCUUUAAUUUUGGAGUUUUAGAUGAUUUUCUAAUUUAGGUAAAAAUAUAUAUAUUUCGAAUAAUCACCAAAUAACCUAUUAAGAGACGGUGUGUCAGAUGGUAAUUACUAGACUCUGUCACUUAGUCCUGCUGAAUGACCAUUCAACCAACCAAACAUUUGCUUCACUAUGGCGGGUUGAAUACACCCGAAAUGACUUGGCUAUUUAAGUGAAUUAAAUAUAUUGUAAUAUUCCUUAAUUAAUACAAUUAUGUUAAGUUAUUGAUAUUUAUUUGUAAUUCAUUUAUUGAUUUUUAUUUUAAUUAAUGAUGAAUUAUUAUUUUUGGGUGAAAAUUUAUCAUUUUAUUAUACAUGGAUAGCACAUGAAAUUCGUAACUUAAUAAUAUAUUAAAUAUUAUUCUUUAAUUUUUUAGAGAUAAUGAUAUAUUUGUCCCUUAAACUUUGAUUAAUCUUUUAAUGUGGUAUCUGUAUUUUUACGUUGUUAAUCAAUCCAAAAUUUCUAAGUGACGGUGUUAACUUUUGAUUUGUCUCGAUAUGUGACCCAAUUAUAAAAUCUCACGUGUUACUUUUUUAUUAAAAAAAUCCAAAUAAUGAGAGGGACCUCAAGUUAGUUAACCCCAUUUGUCUUCAUUUCCUUUUUCUUUAUUUCUUUUAUUUUCUGAAAAAAAACCCUCCAUUUCUCUGACUUUUUAUUUUCACUGCUAUAUUUUUUUAUAUUUCCUCAUUUCCUCAGCUAAUUUGGAUAUUAGUUUGUUUUAUUUAUUACAUUUUUUUCUCAUUCUUUGUUAUUGAUAUUCUGAAUCUUAUUAAUUUCACUUCUAAAUUUAAAUUAAAUAUUACUUUCAAAUUCAACAAUAAAACUGUGAAAAUUGAACGUCGAUAAUGACAAUAAGUCGCAAAGAAAAAGAGAAAAUAGAACACACAGAAUUUUAUGUGGAAACUAUAUCGGGAAAAAAACCAUUGGCGGAGAAGAAGAAAAUUCACUAUGUCAAAUUCAAAUGAUACAAGAGGAGUAUAGACUAUGUCUAUUUAUAGGUUUGUAAAACUAUAUUCUAAUCAAAAUCUAAUAAAAGUAAUGCAGUAAGGUUAAAACACUAUUAGCCCUCAGCUUUGGCCCUCACAGAUCCCCUAUCUUAUCACUUGUAUUUUAUUUAAAUAGGUAUUUGAGUCACACAACUCUAACAAAAACAUAUUUCAACUAAAUCAAAUUAAAAAAAAGAAAUACUUCACGUAUAUAUAUUGACAACAAAUCUCAGUCCUUUAUGAUUCAACAGAAAAUUUUAUCUCCAAAAUGAACACAAAUUCAAAGAAAAAUACAGCCAUGAAAGAUAUACAAAUUUCAUCCUGUAGAUGGAAAUGGUGAGGACAACCAAACCAUGUUCCAACUCAAUUGUAAAGUUAUAAAAUUCUAAAAAAAAUACCUACAUUUAAUAAAAUUUGAACUCAAAAUAUUAUAAUAUUUUUUAAUAAAAAUCAAAAUAUCCCAAUGUUACCAAUUUAAGUUAAAUAUUUUAAAAAAUGAUUACCACUAUACAUAACAUUAUUGUUAGAAUGGACCAAUUGGUCUAAGCCCUUAUUUUGUAGGCUUGUAUUUGGCAAUUACCAAACUCAUGUGGAGAAUUCCAUGUUCUCUUUGCCAAUUAAAGUGAUCCAAAAGGGACCAUACCUUUAAAGAAAAGGCAAUUAUUCCACACUAAACCCCUAGUUUUUGUUUUGGAAUCAAAUCAAAAAGCUGGAUGGUAAGGGUCAUGUUUCUAUCUAACUUUAUGUCCAAAACAAUCGUUAUUUAAAUUAAAUUUUACAAAUAAUUGCUUUAAAAUAUUUAUUCAUUGAUAUAAAUCAAAAGUUUACAAACCAAAGAAGCAACAAAAGAAAAUCUAAAUCCAUUUUCUUUAUUGGUAAUAUCACAAUAACUAAUUCUUUUCCCCUGCAAUACUUGAGUUGCUGAUGAAUUUUAUUUAAAUAACAGUCACAAUCAUACAAAUUUAUUUUAAACUUAUGUAAUCUAUUUAAAAUUUGAUAAAGACAUUUAUUUUGAGCUUUGAAAAUUUUUAAAAUUUCAAAUUUCUUAAACUUUAAAAUGCAUAAAACUUUUGACAAUUUAAUCUUUUUAUAAAAUUUAUUUUUUUUAUUUUUUGAGCAUUAAAUAGAAUUUUUUUUUAAAAAUAGUUUUAAAAUUUUUAAGAAGUUUCAAAAAAUUCAUAUAAAAAUUUUAUUUCAAAUAUUUGUUAAAACAAUUUAGUUUUAAUAUUAUUGAUAAAAUGAUAUUUCAAUUUUAAUUUUUAAUAAUAAUUUUUUCUACAUGUUAGAUUUUAAAAAAUAUAAUAGGUUUGCAAAAACAUUUAAAAUGUAACACCCUAUAUCCGACCCUAUCGUCGGGUCUGAGCUACGAUGUGUUACAUUCGUUGCUAAAGCAACUAAUGUUAUAAUAAACACGAUUCAAACCAUUUAACAUUCAAAUACAAACAUCAUAAGCAAACAAUAUGAUAAGUAAACAUUCCCGGGUCUUAUGCAAGUUUAUGGAAGCUUUAAGUUUAACCCGAGAUAGAAUCAGGACAAAAUUGCAAAAGUUUCAAAAUACAGAAUUGACAUCACAACGUGAGGGAGUUUCUCAUCACGAUGUGACAAACUGUUUGAUUUUGUCCAGACGACGGGGUUCCUCGUCUCGCCGUGACAUUAUAAGCAUUUUCUCGUCACAACAUCACAUACUGUUUCUAUAAUUUUAUAAUGAUUGUCAACUUGCAAUUUUCCAACCAAGUUUCUAAACGGAUUCAAACUUUAACCAACCAAUAUUUGCAACUAUAUAGCCUUAAUUCCUGCAACUUAAUACCUUAUACAAUAUUAGGCCAAUACAUUAUCACCUACAAGCCAUUUACCUAUUGCAAACCAUUUAAAUCAUUUACAUACUUACCUAUUUCACCAACUACAUAGAUAUUUAUUUGCAACAUUUCAUACCAAUUCAAACUACCUUUAAUUCCAUUACAAGCCAUAUUAGGUCCGUUUUCUAGGCCUGGGCUCGGCCUGACCCGAAAUAUAGGCCUAAAAAUUUGUCCAAACCCGGCUCAAAAGAAAAUUGAUAAGCCCGAGCUCAACUCGGCCCGGCCCAUAUUAAAUUUUACAACACCAAAAUAGUAUAAAAAACCUGCAAAAUUUUAGGGAUUUUGAAGCUUGAUUUUGGAAUUGGGAAAAAAGAGAGGGCACGAUCUGAUGACGAAAGUGAAACAUGAAAGUUAAAAAGUAUAUUUGAUUAAAAAUAAAAAAUAUAUAUUUAAUAUAUAAUUCGGGUUGGGGCCGGGCCCAGGCCAAAAAAGUUUUACUUGAGGCCCGACCCAUUUUCUAAACAGGCCUCAUUUUUUACCCAAACACAUAUUCCAGGCCUAUAUUUUUAUCCGCCUCCCAUUUUUCGGGCGGGCCAUCAGGCCUGGCCGGGUAGCCCCAACCCAUGAUCACCUCUACUUUCAACCAAAUUCUAACAUUAACCAUUAAACCAUAAGUGCAUAUACACAUAACUUUAUAUACCAAACUUGACUCAACCUAGGUACAUGCCUUAUAACCAGCAAAAGAGAUUUAUACAAACAUUUUCGAGUUCGGGAUCUUGAUUGGAUGCUGAAGUCAGUACUCAGGAAUCUCGUUUGGGACCUAACCUACACACGGAAAAACAAAUCAUACACUGAGCGAUAAAACUCAGUGGUAUUUCUAUACUUCAAUAUAACAUAAAUGUUAUUCAAAUGUAAAUAAUCAAUUCAAGUCUAUUGUUCAACUAAUUCGUAUACCAAAUUGUAACAUAGACUUAGUGAUCAAUUCAUUUGGUUAUUUCAUAUCUUACUUUCUUGCACCUAUCUAAACAUUUUCCAUACAGACUUCACUUUAUACAUACUUGAUCAUUUAAUAUCACCAUUUAUAAAAGUAACACCCCAAACCCGACCUAGACGUUACGGUCGGUUUAUGAAGGUCACAUCACUAGAUAAAAGAAAGUACUAUUGUUUUGAAGAACCAAUUCCAGCAGGUUAAAACUUCAUUGUCUCGCUUUUUGAAAAAAAAAAUUAAACAUGUCAAAAGAUCAAGUUAAAUUCUCUUAUAAACGUAGCCUGCCAAAAUUAUUUUUAAUGAAAACCUCAAACUUAGUUUGUAGAGACAAUUACUUGAAAACUUAAAGUUUCGUUUUGGUCUCUUUAGGAAGAAUUAUUUAUCACUUAAGCUUUAUUUAAACUAUCCAUUUUAAACCUUGUGAACUAAACAAACAUAAAAUGUCCAAAAAUUAAUAAACCACAAUAGAGUUCGAAAUGUUCGAUUUAAACACAUAGAAUAAUACCAUAAUAUAGUAUAUUAAAAUCAUGAAAUCCGAGUCUCCAGUGACGCCGUCCAAAGCUAAGCUGGGGGAUCGCCUGAAAUAAACAAAAAUGUGAGCUAAUAGCCCAGUGUGCAUUUUGGCCCAAAGUCCAAAAAUCAUACGUCAAUGAUAUAUAUAUAUCAAUCAAUAUAUCACAUAUCGCAUAAAUUUCAGUUUAUUCAUAUCUUAGCACAUUAUAACUUAACAUAAGGUAGUAUUUCAUGCUAGAUCAUAUUAAACAUAUCAUACGUAAUAUAUCUUACCCCCAUCUGCUACACACCAGCACUAUCCAGCCAAUCACACAUGUUGGACUACAUAAGUCCGUCCAUCCAAUCACACCAUGAUGUGGCGGUAUGCCACUCUUAUAAUUGUAGUUGGACUGCCUUACACAUAAUUUUGCGGUCCAGCUACCAUAUUUGUAGUAAAUACUGCUAUAUACACUUCCUCCAAUACAUUAUAUCCCAUCCUAUGCAUAAACAAAACAUACAUAUAUUUUAUACAUAAUAUAAUCAUAAACAGACGACAUGCUCAUGUACAAAAUUCAUUUAUGCAUAACAUAUCUUAUAGUUAAAUUUCAUCAUACAAUGUUUAUCAUGCUUUUAUUGAUACACAUACGAGCUUACAUGUUAAACUUAUGGUUUUUUUUUUACUCUUAUGACAUCCUCAAACCCAAAUAUCGGAUCCUCUAAACGACCCCUAUUUGGGCCCUAAAAUUGGCCAAAAGGCCCACACGAUCGUGUGGCCUACAUGGCCCAAAAGCCUAGCUUGUGUAGUCCACACGGUCUAUAGAAAUGCAUACGGUCGUGUACCUCACACGGCCUACCACACGGCCGUGUGGAAAUUGGGCAGUUUCGUAAUAGCCUAUGUUUUACGAUUUCAUCGAGUUUCAAAGUGAUUUUUUGAGUUGUAUUCACACACCUGAUAUCCAAAUCAAUCUCCCACACGUCCGGAACUCACGAACCCUAAGUUUGUUUAACACAUCACAUCACUUAACCACUAAAAUCCAUCAAAAUUAACAUAUGAUUUGCCAAAAUUCCAGUCUCAAAAAUCAUAAUCGAACUCUUACCACUCGAAAAUAGCAUCCCAGAUGAGUCAAAUUCUGUUGGAAAAACUUGAUUCCCUAAACCUUUGUCUAUCCAAAAACCAUGGAAAAUACUUAACACGAUAUUAAAUAAUGCAAAUACUCAAACUUAAACUCAAACCCCAUUGAAAAACACCCUAGAAAAAUAGAAAAAUAAUAGUCAAUUUACACUUUUGAUGAACCAAAAUUGCAACAAAUCCAACACUAAACCCCUACAUUGAACCAAAAAGGAAAUGCACCCAGAGAACAAAUCAAGAAAGAGUUGAAAGAGAACCCAAAUAUUCAAGAAGAAAAAGAAAGAAAAAAAAAAGAAAAAAGUAGCAAAUGAAGAUGAUGAAAAUUACAAAAGCAGACAUGAGAGCAAGAAAAGAAGAAAUGGGUGGUUACCAAGUUGAGAAAUAAAAGGAAUUUUGAUAAGAUUUAAAUCAAUUAAAACAAAUAGGAUUUAACCACCAGAUUUUUAAUAGACUUCCAAUAGAAUUCAACUUCCAAACAAUAGCCGAAACAAAAAUAAUUUAAACAUGCGCAACACAGGAUUCAAAAACCAAACCUCCCACAUAUAAUCACAAUACCUAUCCACUGAUCCAACUUAAAUUAUUUAACAUUAGAUAACAUACCAUGCUUAUGAAACUAGGGGCGUUACAAUAAACAUAUACUCACGUAUAUAUAUACAUACACAUUCUUUAUUUACAUGUUCAAUUUCAUCUCAUCAAUUCAAUCAUUUUUGAGUCUAUUGUUUCGAAAAUACUCAGUUGAUCCUCAAGGCUCAUUUCUAGCCAAUCUGCAUGGUCUUUCACAUGCUAUCAAAUGUCACAAUUCAUAUAUGAGCAAUUAUACCAGAUCGUUCAUAUUUCAUUUCAAUCAACCAUAUAGCCUAGCCAAAUUAUGUUUAUAUAAUACUAUUAACCUUACUCGGAUUUCAAGAUGGAUAUAUGAAUUAACCAACUUGCAUCCUAAUUUGGCACUGUAGUGCAUCAUCGGAUAAACCAAAGGAAAUAUACACAUUUUGCAUCAUUGGACAAGUCGAAACAAUUAUACUGAUACGCGUAGUGCAUCAUCAAAUAAAUCAGAACAAUUAUACUGGCACACAUAGUGCAUCAUUGAAUAUACUGAAGCAAUUAUGCUAACACAUACAGUGCAUUAUCGGAUAUACCGAAGCAAUUAUACUGGCACACAUAGUGCAUCAUUGGAUAAAUAAAAGUAUAGCCUGUACAUUUAAUAAGUAACCAAUUUGCAAUUUCAUUAUAAGUUCAAUUCAUAUUCUUUCAAUUCGAUUUCAUCAUCAAUUCACCAUUCCAAUACCGUAUAUAACAAAUCUCAACUCAAUUUCAUAUAUCAAGUAAGCCACACAACUUUUUAUUCUAUUCAUUAGUCCUCUAUCUCGAUAUACCAUAUCCAUCAUCUUCAUUUAACUCAUACAAUGUAAUACCCCCUACUCGUUUCCGUCGCCGGAAUAGGAUACGAGGCAUUACCAGAUUUUACUGAAUUUUUUUUAAUAUAACCCCUUUAUAAAUAUCAAAUCUUCCCUUCAAAUUUUAAAUCGAGACCAAUCCGACACAACCAAUCCAUUUCAAUAUAUUUUCAAGAUAGAUUUAUCAUAUUUAUAAGAUAAUCUCAUCACAUACCAAAACUAAAAUUUGUUAGCCAUACCAAUGGCUAACUAUACAUUCAUUUCACAUUAACAUCUACUUUACUAGCUUAUACAUGCCAUUGAUUUCCAAAAUAAAGUUUCUUUAUAUACCGAGAUCUUGAGGUUGAUAGUGUGAUGCGUCUCCGACCAAAUCCGACCUCUGAGCUCUUAACACUACAAAAUAGGGGAAAAGAAAACAGGGUAAGCACUUUGUGCUUAGUAAGCUCAUGUAACAAGAUUUAUACUUACCUAAUAUUUUCAAUACAAUACAAUAAACAUUCAUACAUCCAUUCAAUACAUUAUUCCCCUAUCAUGCACAAGCUCAACAUUCAAAUUAGUCCAAUAAUUUUCAUGUAUCAAUAAUUUAUACCAUGAUUGAUGAGCUCAUCAAUUCCAUGAUUCUCAUUUCCUUGUUAUUUUUCCAUAUUUAUCCCGUUGAAUUUCUUAAAAUUUCGAUGGAUUUUCAGAGGUACACUUUAGUGUACAAAUCCGGGUCCGUCAAUUCAUAUUCAUGUGCACACAUUUUCAUUUCAGAGAGCACACUCCCGCGAACCUCAUCCUUACAGCGGGAUUACCAGUCCAGGCUAAAUCUCCUGUAAGAUAAACUCAUAGAGUAUUGUCGGGAUUACCAGUCCAGGCUAAAUCCCCUGCAACGACAAUUACUCUAAUGAGCAUGGAUCUGAAUUACCAGUCCAGGCUAAAUUCAGACCCCAAUUCGGAUUACCCGUCCGGGCUAAAUCCAUUUUCCACAUAUUCUUCGGGAAGGCUAUAUCAGGAUAGGAUCACCCGUCCGGGCUAGAUCCUUUUUACCGUCAAUUCCUUUUCAGAGAUCCAUCAAAUUUUCCUUUCAUUCAACCGGGAUUUAUUUUCUCUUUUCAUCAAGAAUAUCAAUACUUCAUCAAUUAUCAUACAAUAAACAUCCAACUCAUUUUCACAUCAAUAACAAACAUUUCAAGCAUUUAAGAAUAUAAUUCAAGUUACACGAACUUACCUCGACACUUGUUCGUAACCAAAAAUCUACUAAUCCUGAACUUUUUAUUUUCCUCGAUCUUGCUUCAUAUUUGAAUUUUUCGAAUCUAAAUAAAUAAAUUUAAUCAUUAAUCUAAUACUUUUCAUGUUCAUAUGUAACAUUCUCUAUAAUUCCAUUAUUAUUUAUAAUGCAUUCAAAGCUGUCUCACUAGGUCACAGUCACUAAAUUAUUUAUAUCUUGAGCUACGGAACUCCAAAUUAAGAUCUUCUAAUUUUCCAUAAAACUAGACUCACAUAUCUUCUUAUCAUAAAAUUUUCAUAAUUUUUGGUUUAGCAAAUAAGUACAGUUUAUUCUUUAAAGUUUCCCCUGUUUCACUGUUCAAUAGUUCCAACCUCUCUUCACUAAAAAUUAAUUAUCUCAUAGUACAGAAUUCGGAUGAUGUUUCCAUUUGUUUCUUCUGAAAAUAGACUCAUUAAGGAUUCUAACCAUAUAAAUUAUAACUCAUAAUCAUUUUUGUACAAUUUUUAAUGAUUUUCAAAAGUCAGAACAGGGGAACCCGAAUUCAUUAUGACCUUGUCUUACAAAAUCUAUUAUAUCUCAUGAUUUACAAUUCCAUUGCUUACACUGUUUCUUUUAUAAGAAACUAGACUCAAUAAGAUUUAAUUUCAUAUUUUAUUCAUCCUCUAAUUAGAUCUCUACAAUUUUUGGUGAUUUUUCAAAGUUAGAGUACUGCUGCUGUCCAAAACUGUUUUAGUGUAUGAUGUUAAUUACCAUUUUUCCCUAAACUUUCAAUAAAUGAUAAUUUCAUCCGUGCUCAAUUAACCUCUCAAUUGAGCUGAUUUUUCUCAAUUAACAUUUUAUCCCAUCACUUUAGACUACUUUAUAACCUUUUUAAAUCAGAAUUUCAGCACUAGACUUUGAUUCCAAACAUUUUCACAAUUAGGUCCUACAAAUCAAUUUCUAUUGAAAUUACCUAAUAAAAUCAUCUCAUAAACAAAUUAAAGCUUCAAUUUCAUCCUAUUUCAUCAUAAACUUCCAGCACACAUUCAUAGCAACUUUCAAAUUCAUUCACAAAAUCAAAAACUAAUGAAUUUAGUAAUAGGACCUAGUUGUAAAAGUCUUAGAAACACAAAAAUUAUAAGAAAAAGGCAAGUAUUAACUCACUUGGUGCAAAAAUUAUGAAAAACCAACUUGAAGAAACCCUUAGGACGUUUUUGGCUGAUGGGAAUGUAGAAAAAUAAAGAGGAAUCUAGAUAAUUCCACUUUAGUCCUAACUUUUAAAGCAAAUUUUACAAUAUUCCAAUUUUACCCUUAAUUCUUCAAUUCUCCUGUAUGCCGCCCAAAAUAUCUCCUUUUGGGGUUAUUUUCAAUUUAUGUCCCUCUUCAUUUAACAAUUGAGCUAUUUAAUCCUUCUAGUAACUUUUACACCUUUUUCAAUUUAGUCAUUUUCACUUAAUUGACUACCCAAACAUUAAAAUUUUCUAACGAAAUUUUAAUGCCAUAUUACUAAUACUUCAUAAAUAUUUAUAAAAAUAUUUUUGAUUCGGUUUUACUAGAUCGAAUUCUCGAUACCUUGUUUUUACCCAAUUUCUUCUAUAAUUUCUUUUUCUAACUAACCACUAAAUCGGUAAAAUUUUUAUAUCGAUAUUUUCAUACGAUUCUCCUAUCAUACCAAUAUUCAUGCAAAAAUAUUAAAAUAAAUUUCUCUUUAAAUCGGAUUUGUGGUUACGAAACCACUAUUCCGAUAACCUUGAAUUUGGGCAAUUACAUACAAGCAUUAUAUACUUACUUCAUAACUAAAUCAUGCAAUUUAACAUUAACAAACAAGAAUUAAAUUGAAUCGGAUCACAGAAAUACAAACCAGAAUUGCGAGCUACUCGUCGAUGACUUUGGAUUUUUCCUUUCCCUCUCGAUGGAUUUGGGUCAAUGUUAGCUACGAAUAAUCACAAAACAUACAGUACUAUCAAUUUCCGACCAAUUCACAAUCAAUCACUGAUUCAUACAAGUUUUACAAUUUAUUCAAUUUAGUCCCUAAAUAUGGGAGAAGCAAAACUUUCAAUUUAAACCCUCGGAUUAAAAUCCAAUUUCCCAAUUUAUCAUUAAGGACCUCCUAUUUCUUAUUUCUUAUUUCUACUAUCAAUUUUACAUUUUAUUCGAUUUAGUGUUUUUUACAAAACUAAGGAUUGAACUUUAUAAUCUAAUCCUUUUUCACAUCUAAGCUUAAAAUCUAUCAAUUUAACAUCAAAAUUCUCAAGAAAUAAACAAUGGUAACUUCCAAAAACUUUAAUAAUUUUAUAAAUUGAUACAUGAACUAGCUAAAUCAAGCUCCCAUGACCUCAAAAACAUAAAAGUUACAAGAAAAAAAGACUUAAAUUACCUAUCCAAAUUUUGACUGCAUGCUUGGAACCCUAGCUUGGUUUUUCUCCUUUGUUUCUUUGUAGAUUCGGUGAUGAAGGAGAAAAAAAUAAAGAUGACAAGCUUUAAAGUUAUCUUUUAGACUUUGAUUUAUGUUGACUACUCUUAUUUUAAUUAAUUAAAACAUAGUUUACUUAAUUAACCAAGCCAUUAAUCUAACAUCGUGGAUUUCACCAUCUUUUUCCACUAUCUACUAAUAGCAAUUGGUUUAAGUAUCAAUUUGAUCCUUUGGCUAAUUAAAAAUCUAUAGCGAUAAAGUUUUACAAUUUAGUUUUUAUAUCUUAAUUAAUUAUCAAUUCAUCAAAAUUAAAGGACCAAACUUUAAUAAAAUUUAAUACUAGCCUCGUAAAUAUUAAUUAUUAAUGUUUAUAGGCUCGAUUUAGAGAAAUAAAAUUUUGAAACCGCCAUUUCUGACACUACUAACUUUUGGAUCAUUACAUUAAAAGUAAGGAAACAUUCAUGUAAAAUUUUGGAAAAACUUCAAAGUUGUUUUGAAAUAAUGAAUAACGAGAAAAAAAGAAGAAGAUAAAUUUCAAAAUUUAUAGUAAAUUUGGAGACAAAAAGACUUAUUGGGCAAAUAAUGAAGCCAUGGUUUCAAAAUUCUAAAACAUUUAAAACCCUGGAGGACUAAACUUAUAAGUUUAAAAACGAAAACCUUUGAAAAUUAUCUUAAAAACAUGGAGGGUCAAAAGCUACAAUUAAUUAUGCUGAAAUGUCAAAAUUUAAAAUAGAUAUAAAAUCGGAAGGGCCUAGGUUGUAAUUAAAAUAGGUGGAAGGCCUUAUAAAAAUAAUAGGAAAACACUAAUUAAGGGACUUAUCUUGCAAUUUCUUUGUGUAUAAAAGUACCACAAAACCCUUUGAACUAUACAUUGGAUUGCAUUUAAACCUUUCUAUUGAAAAAAAAGGGCAAAUUAUCCCAUGUACAUUGGAUGAGUGAGCAAAAUAGCUCAUCCGUUUUAGUUUGGUGUUUGUAUAUAAUGUAUAAUAACAAAUUUAGCUCUCAAUCUUUACACAUUUAUUCAAAUUGACAUCUAUUCUUUCAUUGGAAGCAAAUUAAAAAUUUUUGAAAUUAAAAAUUUUUUAAUUUUAGGAAUUUUAGAAAUUAGUAACAAAUUAAAAAAAAUCAAUUUAAAAUUUUAAAAAAUCAUAAAAAUUAUAAAAAAUUUAUUAAAGAAUUACAAUAUCGACCUAAUAAGAGAGUAGGGGUCAAAUUUUUCAAAAUAUUUAACCAUUAGACUUUAAUUGUAUGUAUUGUUAUUUUUAAUAAAAAAAAUUAUAAUUUUAAUGAGCUACCCUUUUAUUUAUAUUUUAAUGAAAUAACACAACUAUCUGAUCAAUAUGUUAAACUUUUCUAAAUAAUAAAAUAUUAUACCUACUAAUAUUUUAAAUUACAAAUAAUUUCUAACCCAUGAAAAUCCAAACGUAAAUCAAAUGAAAGGAAUUCGGUUACCAGGUCGAAACAUAAAUCUACUAUACAUAUAUAACUUCAUUACGUUAAUAAUUUAUGGGAUUUCGCAUAAUGUCUUUGCUUUUCGUUCCAUGGCCAUGCAUCAUACUUCAAUCCAAAUGCUUAUGAAAUGUGCCUGCAGGUCUCAUUUGUUUCACUGAAAGAAGGAUCAAGAAACCUUAUUAUUAUAUUCAGCUUUUCAUAUUUUCAUAGUUUUUCAUUAUUUAAAAGUUUUUUUUUAGAAAUGGGAUAAAUUAAUAGAAUCUGGACUAAAUUUUCUAUUAUGCAAAUAAUCGAUUAAUGAUUGAACGAAAAAAAAGAAGCAUACAGCACAAUACUGAAUAUUACUAGCUAAAACGUAAGAUCUCACCAAAACUAAGGUUGGUUCCUGUAAUUAAAUCUUUUUUCGGAACAAUUGAAUAUAAAUUUGAGAAUGCAUGAAAAAAUUAAGUUUCUAAAAUUAUAAUAAAGAGAUUCAAUUUUGGAUUUGGAUAAACAAAAUCAAUUCUAUUUGGAUAAUUUAUUACAAAAUUUGCACUAACUUUCAUUUAGUCGUAACUUUAUUGAUAAAUUUUGUUAGCUAUGUAAUAGAAAAGCAAACUCAGAAUAUGUAGCUUAUGUUUAACUUGGUCCUACUUAUCUGCUCAGUGCUCACUGUAUAAGAAUUGGUUCCGUAUAUAUGAACUUCAAAGGCUGUGAAUUUCUAUGAUUAGAGAUUUUCGUCAAGUAUGGGAGCUGGUAGGAGAAUCUUGGGAGGUUUCAAUUUAGCAAUCCUGAUGGUGAUGAUGCUAUUGAGCACCAACCGACACUGUGCGGCCGACGCGGUUAAGAAGAAUAAGAGCAUGAGCAGCCGCUGGUGCGAUGAUUCUUCAAAUAAGGAGUGCCUGCAGCUUUCGGACGACAUAGAAACGAUGGAGUUGUUGAUGGAUUCAGAAGCAAGCAAAAUGGUAUUUGAAGCAAGUGCAGCUAUCGACUUCGCCAGCAGUAAAAAUCCAACUACCAGAGCCCUUGACCCUUCUCCAGCUGCCUGCGACCGUAAUACUGGCAAGUCUUGCGAACCUGAUAGUAAUCCAGGCACAAAGGUACCUCCAAAUUGUUCACUAUACACCAGAGCUGGUUGCCACUGAUUUACUACUUUUUCUUGCUAUGCUGGUAUAUUGUGUUUCAAUUUAUCAAGAUAUAUAUGUGUGUGUAUAUAAGGAUGAGGAGAAACAUCUCUUUCAAUAUAUGCAUAAAUAUUUCUGGUUUCAUUAAUCUCUUUUCAUAAUUUGUAGUAUAUGUGACAAGCAGGUACUCUCAUCAAAUUCUAAUGUGUGGGCUCUUGGGAACAAUGCCUUGUAUAUUUUCUUCCUAUGCUAUAAGUUUCACCUUUGUAGAUUGUUUUGUAAUUUACUUUACCUAUUAACAAGAGGCAACACAUGAUUUGUCAGACCUACGAGGGUCAAAAAUGACAUUCUACAGCCUAAGAUUGAAGUAUUUGCUUACCCUACACAUUUCCCAAAAAAACAAAACCAGAACUGCAAAUCCGAACUUUACUAUCUCACCAUUUCACACCCUCUCAAUAACUGUUUAAAUAAAUAAAUAUUAAGAUAUCUUUAACUUUUAAUUUUAAAAUUUAAAUUAUUAAAAUCUAUUUAUAAUAGUUACAAUGUUUAGACGAAUUAUUAGUAUUUAUUUAAAAGUUUUUCAUAUUUUUUUUAUUUUAUUUAAUGAUGAUAUGUCAUGUUAUUAUUCACUUAUAAUCAAUAACGAAGUGAAGAGGCUAGCAGUGGCCCAGACCCCCUUAAAAUGGAAAAAAUUUAUUUAGACUCAUUUAUAAUUUAUUAAAAUUUAAAUUAAUAAUAGUAAAAUUACACUUUGAUCCCAAAAUGAUAAAAAUUUGUAAUUAAGUUUCAACUUUCUGCUUAUUAAUUACAACAUUAUUUAGUCACGAAUUCAUUUCACUAAAGUAUAGUGAUUGAGCUUUCCCUUAUUAUAUAUCAUUACAAAAGCACUCAUUGAGUGCUCGUCCAAUGUCCCUGUUGUAAGUGUGUUAUUCUUAUAGUAUAUUCUUAAUCUUUUUAGGAUAAAUUUGUUCUCCCAAUAUAAUAUUAAUUUAUCUCAUUAUAAUCAUUAUAUAUUCCUUCUUGGAAAAUCAGUUACUAAUAAAUAGUAAUUAAAUCAUUUAUCACCAACACAAAUGAUAUGUGGUCACAUUACUUUUCAUUUAUUAUGUGAUGCUAAUGAGAGGAUAUCAUUUACCUUUUAAUUGAGUUAUGAAUUCCGUUGUUGUGAAUGACGCUACAUAUUGCAAAAGUCGUAUACCCAACGCACCAGCUUUCAAUUCUUUAUCUAUUUGGAUUCAAUCUUUCAUUUGCAUCAAAGUAUACAAGUUACACAUACAUAAUCCAUCAUCAACUCAUGAUUAAAUAUGUCACACUAUGAAAGUCACAGGUGAAUGGAUCCAUAAAGAUCUAGGAUCUAUUCUACAUGGGUUUUGUCCGAUGUACCAUCAGCUUAGUCCAUCUCAUCUAUAUCUCUAUUUUCUGGAAGUCAUCCGUUUUGAUACCCAAGAUAAUGUAUCUCCCCAAUUGAACUUGAUAGACGAUAUAUUAAUCUUUCAAUCGAUUUAUUCAAUUCUGAUUAGACUAAAUGCGUGUUUAGAUUAUUUACUAAUAUAAAUUGUAUUUUCGUAUUAUAGUCUAAUCGCAUAAUAUCACUUAGUAUUAGUUAAACGAUAAAUAAUCAGUGAGUCAAUAUUUACUUUCAAUUUAUUUUGUGAGAAAAAAACAGUUAAGGACAAUAUACAAGUAUAUUAAUGAAACUGAUAUAUAUUUUAUUAAAUCAAUUCGUUCAAAAAAAUAUAAAUACAUAUAGACAAAAAUACUACACUAAGGGCAUUAGAUUCCAACAGAGUUGCUACAGGGAGUAUGUGAAAGAUUAAGAUCCAUUCCAUUAUCUGUUCAUUCAUUAAUAUCUAAUAUAAUGACCAUUAUCUUUUAAAUGUGUAAGGCACAUUUAUUAAAUGUAAAAAUCAACUUAUGAAUGGUGAUUAAACAUAUAUUUGAUAUAUAUGAAUGAAAAAGUAAUAAACUGGAGCCAAACCCAUAUGUGAAAGACGUGUACAAUAAAACUCAUUUUGUUAUGGCAGUACGAAGCUAAAGUGAAAUCUAAUAUCCUUUAAAAGUAUGUUCACAUAUGAGGAAUAUUCACUAAUAAGUUGUUAAAGAUGUUUGCCAAGAAUGUGAACUAUCCAUAGAAGUGAGAAAUCCAUGUCUUUCAAAAGAAAGUGAGCGAUCCAACUCCGUUGCUGAGAAUGAGGACCGGAUGGGUUGUGUUCCAUGUCAUAUGACAUAAUUUAUUGUCAUUUGCCAUUAUUUUAUUUUUGUCUUGAAUAGCAGUGUGUUUAAUUUUGUCUCUUCUACAGUAUUAAUAGAAAAAUGUGUCUUCUAUAAUGUAUUAUUAUGGUUGGAAUUUGGAGUCAUUUACCUUACAUUUUCAAAAGAAUAUAUACUUCUUUUGCUAGCUGUGCCUAUUACAAUUUUUUCUAAUCUAUUUAACUACCUAUACUACUAUAUAUAUCAAAGGAACCUGUCUAUACUUGACAACAUAACGAAGAAUGAUCAAAAUUUGAUAUACUUUAAUUUUGACAUAAUUUAAUAACUUAAUUUUUAUAAUAUCAUUAUAUAGCAUGUUAAAAUUCUUUAUUAAAUCUAGAUUCGUUACAAUAUUAUUUUUUGUUGCAUUGAUACCACAUAAUUUUUUUUAUUUCAAAAUAUUACACUAACAAAUUUAACAAAAAAAAUUUUAAUAAUGUCAACAAAUGUGCCUAAAUUUUUAAUUUUAAAAAGUAAAGAGACGGAAUUGCUGAAAAUAAAAAUAUGGAGAUUAACUUCAAAAUAUACAAAAAGUAAAAGAACUUUGAACAAAUUAUAACUUUUAUAUUUUUACUCUAUAAUUUAGUCAAGAAAUAAAGAAUUAACCCAACGCGAAGCUUAAGUGAAGAUCAUACUAGUAUAUAAAUAGAAGGACAAAAAGGAUUCUUCUCUUGACACAUGGCAUUUAGUUUCCAGGAAAAAGUCAAAUCUGAUUUUUUUUAUCCUUCUACUAUGCCUAAAUUAAAAUUUAGUCUCUAUACUUUUAUUUCUAACAUAAUUUGGCCCUAUAUUUUUUUAAUAUUAUUAGUUAUCCAAAUAGUUAAUAUUGUAUAAAUAGUUGGAUUAAAUUGUUGAUAUGAUUUUUUCUUAAAAAAUAUUAUUCUAACAAUUGUUUUAGCAUAAUUAAUUGGAAUAAGUAUUUUUUUUUAAAAACUUAUGUCAUCUACUCAAACAAUUAAGGGUGCUAAUUAUUUGAACUAACAAAUGACACAACUCCUUUCCCCCUUUUUUGUCGUUAUAAGAUAAUGGUAAAAUUAUAGUUUUGAUCCCCUAUUAUGCUCACCUUUGGAUUUAGUUUUUAUAUUUUAAAUUGAUAGAAUUUGGUUCUCUACUUUUACCAUGACAUUCAUUAGUCCAAAUAGUUAACAUUCUUGACUAUUUCAGUUAAAAUGAUGAUAUGAAUUUCUUUUAAAAAUCUUUCUAACACAAAAGAAAAAGAUGUUUUGGCAUGAUAAAUUAGGACGAGUAUUUUUUAGAAAAAAAUUGACUUCAAUAUUUUAACCAAAAUAAUUAAGUGCGCCAAUUAUUUCCAAAUAUUAUGUAGAUGAAUUUUAUGUCAACUUAAAGUAUAAAUACUAAAUCCUAAAUUUAAAAAUAGUAGAGGGAUCAUAAUCAUAACUUGAUCUAAAAUAAUAUAUAUCUAAUACAAUCAUUUGUCAAUUAAUUUAUUAAAAAGUUUUUAAAAUAUUGUUUUUAAUUAAUUUAGGUUAUGUUUGAUAAAUUGACAAAUUAAGUACCGAAAAAUUAAGUGUUGAAUUUAAGUUAUAAAAUAUGUCUGGUGUAUUACUUAAAAUUAAAUAUUGAUUAUAAUUAGAUUAUUUGAUAAAUGAUAAUAUAAUCUUAAUGAAAUAGAAUAAAAUCAAAAUAAUUGAAUUUAUUCUCUAUUAGGUGAUAAGUAGGUCCCCUAUUAUUUUCCAUAAUUUUUUGUGGAAAAAUUACUACCCAAUAAAUUUCAUCGUGGGUUAUCAGACAUACUUAAAAAAGUUAAAUUGCUAAAAAUAUUAAUUGAAUUUUUGCAAAAAUUAAAAAAAUCACGUGAAAGAAUAAUAAUUAUAAAAAUUUAAAAUGAAUUUGAAAUUAGAUCUCCUAAACAUUGUCAUGGAGAAAGUUAUAAUAGAAAAUUGUAUUGUUUUAUUUUAAAAAAUUAUUGGGCAAAUUUCACUGUUAGUCACUCUAAAUAGGGAUCAUUUUUAUUUUGGUCUCUCCACUUUUUUUUGUUAACUUAGUCACCCGAAAAAAAAUUUGAUCAAAUUAGUCAUUUCACCGUUAAAUGAUAAUUGAUUAUGUUAUAUAAUUAAAAUAACUUAUUUUGUUUUUAUUUUUAAAUAUAGUUUUCUCUUUUACUUCUUCCCAUCUUUUCUAAAAUAACAAAAGAAUAGUACCAACAUAAUUAACGAAACAGUUCCUGAACAAAUAAUUAUAGAUAAAACUACUGCGAAAUCCCUCUAUUAGAAUGAUCGGAUUAAAUUAAUCUCUAUACUAUUAAAUAGUUCAAUUCAAUCACUGUACUAUUAAAAAUAAUCAAAUAAAAUUUAACUAGAACAAAGUAAAUAUUUUUAAAUAGUAAACAUUAACUCUAUUGAAAUUUAACCUUAUUUAAUAGCAUGAAAUUUAAUAUUAUUUAAUUUUUUAAAUAGCACAUAAACUAAAUUGAUCUAAUAAAUACUAGAAGGACUAAUUUAAUUUAAUCGAAACCUGCGAAAUACAUUCACCAAUAAUUAUAUUAUAUGUCCAAUUAAAAAAUGUGUGCUAGAAUGUGGCCUGAAUCUUGGUUGGUGUUUAUAUUCGUUUUGAGUUAAAAUUAUAAAAAUUAACUCCACUCUUUUCAUUCCUACUUCAGAAUAAUUAAGAAACAACUAGAUAGGGAAUAAAAAUAGUAAAAUACAGAAAUUAUCUACACCCGUGAUCAAUUAUUGAAUGCACCAGUAGACAAUAUUUAUUUUUCAUUUAUAUAUAAAAUAUUGUAUAUUAUGGUCGGUGGGUUAGAAUUGGUUCUACAUAUAUUAAGAUAAAGAGUGUCGUGGGAGAUACAUAGCAGGAGAAUGAUGGGAGGUAUGAGUUUAGCAAUGCGGGUGCUGAUGAUAAUGGUAAUGCUAGUGAGCACCAAUCAAUACUGUGCGGCGGACGCGGUUACGAAGACUAAGAGCAUGAGCAGCCGCUGGUGCGAUGAUUCUUCAAAUAAGGAGUGCCUGCAGCUUUCGGACGACAUAGAAACCAUGGAGUUGUUGAUGGAUUCAGAAGCAAGCAAAAUGGUAUUUGAAGCAAGUGCAGCAACCAACUUCGCCAACAGUAAAAAUCCAACUACCAGAGCCCUUGACCCUACUCAAGCUGUCUGCGGCCGUAAUACUGGCAAGUCUUGCGAACCUGAUAGUAAUCCAGGCACAAAGGUACCUCCAAAUUGUUCACUAUACACCAGAGCUGGUUGCCACUGAUGUACUACUUUUUCUUGCUAUGCUGGUAUAUUGUGUUUCAAUUUAUCAAGAUAUAUAUUUAUGAAUAAGGAUGAUGGAGAAACAUCUCUUUCAAUAUAUGCAUAAAUAUUUCUGGUUUCAUUAAUCUCUUUUCAUAAUUUGUAGUAUAUGUGACAAGCAGGAGUACUCUCAUCAAAUUCUCAUGUAUAGGCUCUUGGGAACAAUGCCUUGUAUAUUUUUCUUCCUAUGCUAUAAGUUCCACCUUUGUAGAUUGUUUUGUAAUUUACUUUACCUAUUAACAAGAGGCAACACAUGAUCUGUCAGACCUACGAGGGUCAGAAAUGACAUUCUACAGCCUAAGAUUGAAGUAUAAUGAGAUAACCUCCAUUCUUGCUUACCCUACACAUUUCUCAAUAAAACAAAACCAGAACUGCGAAUCCAAUCCUAACUGUACUGUCUCACCAUUUCACACUCUC
Molecule: long non-coding RNA, 20982 nt
Filed under: Gossypium barbadense (sea-island cotton)
Lineage: Eukaryota; Viridiplantae; Streptophyta; Magnoliopsida; Malvales; Malvaceae
Description: long non-coding RNA (GBAR_LNC020701)
Source: RNAcentral